This is a long non-coding RNA of Cryptomeria japonica (Japanese cedar), 523 nucleotides long. RefSeq lists it as uncharacterized. The transcript is spliced from 2 exons. The record is from RefSeq and is a predicted model, not a curated record. NCBI's taxonomy places the organism in Eukaryota, Viridiplantae, Streptophyta, Pinopsida, Cupressales, Cupressaceae.
UCACAAGCUUCCCAACUGGAGUAAAUGACUUCAGACGGAAGUAAAAUCAAUUAAGAAUGAAAGGGUUGGGUGUACUGGCUAGAAAAUGCAACCGAAGAUUAUGUUGUGUUUCCCAUCUAACAGUAAUGAUGCAAGACAACAAAAACAAAUGGCUUUUGGGUAGUGAUGAUGCACGAUGUGGGAUCCAUUAUGCGUGCAAGGGUAAAAAAAGACACAUUUUGAAGCAUCACCUAAUACUGCUUAAAGAUGCCCCAAUAACCAUGCACUUAAAAUUGCCAAUUCUUAUGCACAAAUGCCCUAAUUGUGCGUAAUGGGUACCAAUAAAGGUGCACACAUGGGUCAAUUAUGAUCCAAAAUGCCACAAAAUGAGCAGCGAUUGGUACAUGUGAAAUUUAUUAUGGGCGUUCAGUUAUUUGUUUUUGAGUUUUUUAAAGUUAGUAGUUGGGUGUGCAAGGAGUGAAUGAUUAUUGUAACAUGAAUGUGAAUGAUUAUUGGAACAUGAAUGUGAAUGAUUAUUGGAACA